This 432-nucleotide ribosomal RNA is filed under the name uncultured bacterium. RNAcentral describes it as "partial 16S ribosomal RNA". It matches the Rfam family "Bacterial small subunit ribosomal RNA", at positions 29 to 506 of the family's 1533-position model. The record is from RNAcentral.
AACGAACGCUGGCGGCAUGCCUAACACAUGCAAGUCGAACGAGACCUUCGGGUCUAGUGGCGCACGGGUGCGUAACGCGUGGGAACCUGCCCUUAGGUUCGGAAUAACUCCCCGAAAGGGGUGCUAAUACCGGAUAAUGUCUUCGGACCAAAGAUUUAUCGCCUUUGGAUGGGCCCGCGUUGGAUUAGCUAGUUGGUAGGGUAAAAGCCUACCAAGGCGACGAUCCAUAGCUGGUCUGAGAGGAUGAUCAGCCACACUGGGACUGAGACACGGCCCAGACUCCUACGGGAGGCAGCAGUGGGGAAUAUUGGACAAUGGGCGAAAGCCUGAUCCAGCAAUGCCGCGUGAGUGAUGAAGGCCUUAGGGUUGUAAAGCUCUUUUACCCGGGAUGUUAAUGACAGUACCGGGAGAAUAAGCUCCGGCUAACUCCGU